UACAGGAGGGUGCGAGCGUUAAUCGGAAUUACUGGGCGUAAAGCGUGCGUAGACGGCUAUCUAAGUCGGGUGUGAAAGCCCCGGGCUCAACCUGGGAAUUGCAUUCGAGACUGAAUAGCUAGGGUACGGUAGAGGGAAGUGGAAUUUCCGGUGUAGCGGUGAAAUGGCGUAGAGAUCGGGAGGAACGACCGGUGGCGCAAGGGCGGGUCAGCUGGGGCCGAUACUGGACGGCUGAGGAGCGAAAGC
This 246-nucleotide ribosomal RNA is filed under the name uncultured bacterium. Its description in RNAcentral is "partial 16S ribosomal RNA". It matches the Rfam family "Bacterial small subunit ribosomal RNA", at positions 524 to 760 of the family's 1533-position model. The record is from RNAcentral.